RNAcentral lists this long non-coding RNA (357 nucleotides) under Amborella trichopoda. Its description in RNAcentral is "long non-coding RNA (ATRI_LNC003013)". The record is from RNAcentral. Lineage: Eukaryota; Viridiplantae; Streptophyta; Magnoliopsida; Amborellales; Amborellaceae.
AAAGAAAAGGGAUUUGAUCUUAAAUGGCUGAAUUAUAAUUUUUUUCUAUCAACAAGAUAUUGGAGAAAGUAUAUUGAGUGAACAAUGGAGAAAGAAAAGUGCAUGUUACUCUGAUCUUAAAGUAUAUGGGGUGAACGUUAUGGCCGAUGCAGAAGUAUCUCGAGGAGUAUCUGGAUAAUCUGCUUCAAACUGUUAGCACAUCAGUAGCAGGGGAAAUGGGAUCGACUCAAGAUCAAACGAAUGGGAAACUACUAGGAUCUAUUCAUUUUAUCUCUCAUUUUUUUAUUCAAAUUUCUCAUUUUUUUUAUUCUUUCAUUUGUUAUGUGGACAAUUGAAUGAAACUAAGGAGCCGUUUGG